This is a long non-coding RNA of Caretta caretta (loggerhead turtle), 4145 nucleotides long. RefSeq lists it as uncharacterized. NCBI's taxonomy places the organism in Eukaryota, Metazoa, Chordata, Testudines, Cheloniidae. The record is from RefSeq and is a predicted model, not a curated record.
UCUAAUGUGCUUUUCUCUUUCCAUAAGUUUUCAGUCUAUGUAAAUGGCAAGGACAGUAAAGAACAAGCUAUGAAAAAUUGCUUCCAAGACAUUGUGAUGAUUCAGGAGAUACAAGGAUGACAGCUGCAAAUAUGCUCUUGAUGAAUGUCUCACCAGCUUAAGUGGGCAGCGUGCUCAAUCAUGUGUGGUAGAACAUGCUCAACCAUGUGUGAUGGAAGAUGUCAGAAAGGUGCAGACAGCCUCUGCCCUGAGCGGUAGACCCAGGUGCUCAGGGACAUGUGGAAUCUUCCUAUUGGGCUUCCUCAUUCUAUGGAACCUUGGUGAUUCUGCUGCCUUUUAGGCAUUCCACGUCCCUGCAAAGGGCAGUGAAGACAGGCUUUGGUGCUGUUAAUCUGUUCUCAAGAAUGAAUCCUUAAGAAAAGGUCACCAAGACAUCAAUCAUCUUAGAGACUUUUCAUUUCACUCUGAAAUUCAGACUGCACAGGGACAACUCCUCCACAUUACUGCAAGCAACCAUUGGAAUGCUAACAGCAAAAUGAUUUUAAUGUCUUUUGAUUAUUACACAGUGCAUUAAUGUGAAUUCUGCACUGCUCACUGGUAUGGUAUGGAAUGUAUCAUAUCCUUAGGGUGGGUGGAGAAUGGGGGAACUGAUCGUGCAUUGUUUUCUUUGCUUAUUUUUCAAGUUGCAGAAGCAGCUGUGUGUGACUUUGAAUUGUGCUUUGAAUUUUAUUUAAAAACCAAACAAACCCCAAACCUGAUUCUCAGCUAAAGACUGUGCUGAUUAAUCUGAGACCAAACUGGCAGCUCUUUAGCCAUUCUAUGAAUAGAAUUUCUUUAACACCACUCCUUAUUCAGGCUUUGCAAGCUGAAAUAGAGACAACAACUUAAAGGUGAAAUUCACCCCAAUGUGCAGACCCUGUGCACCUCAAACCCUGGGCUCAAUGUAACCCACAAAUAUGAAAGAAAUGGGGUGUAUCCUUUUUGGUCUCUGUGUGAUACAUGAGGAAGCACUAACCAUUUUCCUAUUAUUAAAGAGUUCCCCCCAUUCUUUUUAUAUAGAAAAUCAGGUCUUAUCUACCCUAAAAGACUCCAUAUUGAUGACUGGAAACUGGUAGCAUAAUUACAUUAUGAGUACCAAGGAACUGAAACCUGAAUAACUAAGAGGGCAAGUGGUUUUUAUACAGAGUGUUAAGAAUGCUUUGGCCAAGCUGUGCUACUUUUACUCACAUUGGUGACAGCUACUCAUGUAAGUAGUGUCAUUGAUAUCAUUAGGACUCCUUGCUUGCGUAAGUGCUCACCACCAGUGUGAAUAAAGUUUUCCCAAUUGGACCUUUUGCUUUUUGUUAACACCCAUUUAAUUUUAACAUCUGAGAAACCCUGCGGAGAAAGACUCACUUUGUUUAAGAUUCCGCACAUCUUGAGACCUUAAUUAAAGGGGAUGGAAAGCUCACAAUGGAUAUUUGUAAGGAUGCAAGCAAAACCAAGGAAGACCCAACAGUUCUGAUGUUUCCAAGGUAAAAGCAAACAGGAAAAAGCUUCAAAGUCCAUUUGAACGUUUUUUGUCCAUAGGCUUAUGUGUCUCUGUCUGGCUAUGACUGAACCUCCCUUGAAUACUGAACACUGGUUUACUGCCCUUCCUCAGUGUCUCAAACUAAAAUUUAACAUUAAAAAACCCCAAGCUUCUCAGCUUUAAAUGUGAUGUUAAAAGUUAAAGUUAAAAGUAAAUCUCCACAGUGUUCAGGGUCAGAGAGCUUGAAAAUGUUGAUGCAAAGAGGCAAGUGCCCUUCCUCAAAAGCACUUUAACUUCAUGUAUGCAUUGGAACAAUCAACAGCCUUGAAUUCAUUGAAUGCAAUGUGCGAAAGGAGCUUAAGGUACCAUCAAGAGGCAAUAGAAAAUAGUCAAGCAUUUGUCCACAUGUAAAUAGUUAACUGACUGUUGUCAGACAUCAUGAUUCAAGGUUGUUCUAUUAGGCUUAACACAAAGCUGUGCGAUUACAGAAUUAUGCAAGUUGCAAAAUACAUUCAAGAUGACAAGGUAGUCUUAACCAUGGCAUUGUAAUGACAAUGAGUGAUUUUUUUUUCUAAACUUAUUUUAGCCUACACAGCACAGGUAGGGCAUCAGAUACUCAGUAUUGUCCUCAUUUUAUUCCAUUUUUCUGCUGGGAUGAAUGAGGCAAAAGGAAGUCAAGUGUCUUGUCCAAGUGCAUACAUUCAUGCCAAAAAUGUGCAACAUUUAUAGGCCUGAUUUUCAAAAUUGCCAAACCCAACCAUUCAAAAAAUCAUAAGUCAGGCCCCCACAACAUCAUGAAAUAUUUUUAAAAAUAAUACAAUUUGUAUUUUUUUUUCUUUCUGGAUUUUGAAGCUUUAGGAUGCAUUUGGGUUAUGUUCUUAAACUUUUCUCCACAACUAUGUGGGCUAGACACUUUUGAAAUGAAAGCUGAGAGUCUUAGGCCAUGUCUACACUACGAAAUUACUCCAGUUUUACAGAAGUCAAUUUUUGGGAACAGAUUGUAUAAAGUCAAGUGCAGGUGUCCACAUUAAGCACAUUAAUUCGGUGUGUGUCCACAGUACCGUGGCAAGCGUCAACAUUCCAAGCCGUGCACUGUGGGUAGCUAUCCUGCUAUGCUGCCCAUUGGCUGAGCUCCCAAUGCCUGAUGGGGCCAAAAAUUUGUCUUGGGUGGUUAUGGGUAAAUGUCGUCAGUCAGCCCUCCCUCCCUCCGUGAAAGCAACAGGAGACAAUCAUUUUGCGCCCUUUUCCCUGGAUUGCCCAAGCAGACGCCAUAGCAUGGCAAGCAUGGAGCCCAUUCAGCUCACCGCAGCAGUUAUGACCGUUGUAAACGCCUCUCGCAUUAUUGUGCAGUUUAUGAAGAACCAGCACCUGAAAAACCCGGCAAGGAGGCGACGGCAGCGCUGUGAUGAGGACAUGAGUACAGAUUUCUCUAAAACCGCGGUCCCCAGCAAUUUGGAGAUCAUGGUGUUACUGGGGCAGGCUCAUGCUGUGGAACGCCGAUUCUGGGCCCGGGAAACAAACACACAGAGUGGUGGGACUGCAUAGUGUUGCAGGUUUGGGAUGAUUCCCAGUGGCUCCAAAACUUUCGCAUGCAUAAGGGCACUUUCAUGGAACUUUGUGACUUGUUUUCCCCUGCCCUGAAGCGCAUGAAUACCAAGAUGAGAGCAGCCCUCACAGUUCACAAGUGAGUGGCAAUAGCCCUGUGGAAGCUUGCAAUGCCAGACAGCUUCCAGUCAGUCGGUAAUCAAUUUGGAGUGGGCAAAUCUACUGUGGGGGUUGCUGUGAUGCAAGUAGCCAGUGCAAUCAUUGAGUCUGGGAAAUGUGCAGGUCAUAGUGGAUGGCUUUGCUGCCAUGGGAUUCCCUAACUGUGGUGGGGCUAUAGACGGAAUGCAUAUCCCUAUCUUGGGACCAGACCACCAGGGCAGCCAGUACAUAAACCGCAAGGGUUACUUUUCAAUGGUGCUGCAAGCACUGGUGGAUCACAAGGGAUGUUUCACCAACAUCAGCAUGGGAUGGCCAGGAAAGGUUCAUGACUUUCGCAUCUUCAGGAACUCUGUUCUGUUUAAACAGCUGCAGGAAGGGAUUUACUUCCCAGAGCAGAAAAUAACUGUUGGGGAUGUUGAAAUGCCUAUAGUUAUCCUUGGGGACACAGCCUACCCCUUAAUGCCCUGGCUCAUGAAGCCGUACACAGGCACCCUGGACAGUAGUAAGGCGCUGUUCAACUAUAGGCUGAGCAAGUGCAGAAUGGUGGUAGAGUGUGCAUUUGGACAUUUAAAGGGUCGCUGGUGCAGUUUACUGACUGACUCAGACCUCAGCGAAACCAAUAUUCCCAUUGUUAUUGCUGCUUGCUGUGUGUGCCACAAUCUCUGUGAGAGUAAGGGGGAGAUGUGUAUGGCUGGGUGGGAGGCUGAGGCAAAUUGCCUGGCCACUGAAUAUGUGCAGCCAGACACAAGGGCAGUUAGAAGAGCACAGCAGGAAGUGCUGCACAUCAGAAAAGUUUUUAAAACCAGUUUCAUGACUGGCCAGGGUACUGUGUGACACUGUUUGUUUCUCUUGAUGAAAACCCGCCCCCUUGGUUGACUCUAAAUUCCCUGUAAGCCACCAGCCCUCCCCCCUCGAUCACAGCUUGCUUGCA